UACAGAGGUCCCGAGCGUUGUUCGGAUUCAUUGGGCGUAAAGGGUGCGUAGGCGGCUUCCUAAGUUUGAUGUGAAAUCCUGGGGCUCAACCCUGGAACUGCAUUGAAUACUGGGAGGCUAGAGUACUGGAGAGGAAACUGGAAUUUACGGUGUAGCAGUGAAAUGCGUAGAGAUCGUAAGGAAGACCAGUGGCGAAGGCGAGUUUCUGGACAGUUACUGACGCUGAGGCACGAAGGCCAGGGGAGGCAAACGGG
RNAcentral lists this ribosomal RNA (254 nucleotides) under uncultured bacterium. RNAcentral's name for it is "partial 16S ribosomal RNA". It matches the Rfam family "Bacterial small subunit ribosomal RNA", at positions 524 to 776 of the family's 1533-position model. The record is from RNAcentral.